RNAcentral lists this ribosomal RNA (201 nucleotides) under uncultured bacterium. RNAcentral's name for it is "partial 16S ribosomal RNA". It matches the Rfam family "Bacterial small subunit ribosomal RNA", at positions 1300 to 1500 of the family's 1533-position model. The record is from RNAcentral.
GCAGGCUGCAACCCGCCUGUAUGAAGUUGGAAUCGCUAGUAAUCGCGGAUCAGCAUGCCGCGGUGAAUACGUUCCCGGGCCUUGUACACACCGCCCGUCACACCAUGAGAGUCGGGAACACCCGAAGUCCGUAGCCUAACCGCAAGGAGGGCGCGGCCGAAGGUGGGUUCGAUAAUUGGGGUGAAGUCGUAACAAGGUAAC